GGGGAAUAACCGAGGUUCAAAUAGACUUUAAGGAUAUUAAAGUUAUACAAAGGGAAACAAUUAAGAAAAAGCAGAUAGAGGCAGUUACUACAAAUUAACCACUUCUGAUGCUAUAAAUUUUUGACAAGAGGGGUUGCUCUGAUGGUAAGCAACCCCCACUUCCAACCGAGAGGUUGUGCGACUUUAAGCUUCUUCAACAAUUCCAAAAAACAAGUGUAGAAGUAAAUUCACGAGUUUAUGCCAUUAUUAAUUUUUUUUAAGAACGUGGUAAACUUGAACCGAGAGGUUGUGAGUUCGAGUCUCCCCAAGAGCAAGGUGGGA
This 321-nucleotide long non-coding RNA is filed under the name Nicotiana benthamiana. RNAcentral describes it as "long non-coding RNA (NBEN_LNC011451)". Lineage: Eukaryota; Viridiplantae; Streptophyta; Magnoliopsida; Solanales; Solanaceae. The record is from RNAcentral.